AACGAACGCUGGCGGCAUGCCUAACACAUGCAAGUCGAACGAGAUCUUCGGGUCUAGUGGCGCACGGGUGCGUAACGCGUGGGAAUCUGCCCUUUGGUUCGGAAUAACAGUUGGAAACGACUGCUAAUACCGGAUGAUGACGAAAGUCCAAAGAUUUAUCGCCAGAGGAUGAGCCCGCGUAGGAUUAGCUAGUUGGUGUGGUAAAGGCGCACCAAGGCGACGAUCCGUAGCUGGUCUGGGAAGAUGAUCAGCCACACUGGGACUGAGACACGGCCCAGACUCCUACGGGAGGCAGCAGUGGGGAAUAUUGGACAAUGGGCGAAAGCCUGAUCCAGCAAUGCCGCGUGAGUGAUGAAGGCCUUAGGGUUGUAAAGCUCUUUUACCCGGGAUGAUAAUGACAGUACCGGGAGAAUAAGCUCCGGCUAACUCCGUGCCAGCCGCCGCCGUAA
RNAcentral lists this ribosomal RNA (449 nucleotides) under uncultured bacterium. RNAcentral's name for it is "partial 16S ribosomal RNA". It matches the Rfam family "Bacterial small subunit ribosomal RNA", at positions 29 to 523 of the family's 1533-position model. The record is from RNAcentral.